CAGCAGCCACGGUAAUACCGAGGGUGCAAGCGUUAAUCGGAAUUACUGGGCGUAAAGCGCGCGUAGGUGGUUUGUUAAGUUGGAUGUGAAAUCCCCGGGCUCAACCUGGGAACUGCAUCCAAAACUGGCAAGCUAGAGUAUGGUAGAGGGUGGUGGAAUUUCCUGUGUAGCGGUGAAAUGCGUAGAUAUAGGAAGGAACACCAGUGGCGAAGGCGACCACCUGGACUGAUACUGACACUGAGGUGCGAAAGCGUGGGGAGCAAACAGGAUUAGAUACCCCCGUAGUCCCUGUCUCUUAUAC
This 301-nucleotide ribosomal RNA is filed under the name uncultured bacterium. Its description in RNAcentral is "partial 16S ribosomal RNA". It matches the Rfam family "Bacterial small subunit ribosomal RNA", at positions 509 to 807 of the family's 1533-position model. The record is from RNAcentral.